RNAcentral lists this ribosomal RNA (465 nucleotides) under uncultured bacterium. RNAcentral describes it as "partial 16S ribosomal RNA". It matches the Rfam family "Bacterial small subunit ribosomal RNA", at positions 28 to 507 of the family's 1533-position model. The record is from RNAcentral.
GACGAACGCUGGCGGCGUGCUUAACACAUGCAAGUCGAACGGAAAGGCCCUGCUUGCAGGGUACUCGAGUGGCGAACGGGUGAGUAACACGUGGGUGAUCUGCCCUGCACUUCGGGAUAAGCUUGGGAAACUGGGUCUAAUACCGGAUAGGACCGCACUUUAGUGUGUGUGGUGGAAAGUUUUUUCGGUGUAGGAUGAGCUCGCGGCCUAUCAGCUUGUUGGUGGGGUAAUGGCCUACCAAGGCGGCGACGGGUAGCCGGCCUGAGAGGGUGUACGGCCACCCUGGCACUUACGUACGGCCCCGACUCCUACUGGUGGCAGCAGUGGGGAAUAUUGCACAAUGGGCGCCAGCCUGAUGCAGCAAUGCCGCGUGUGGGAUGAAGGCCUUCGUGUUGUAAACUCCUUUCGCUAGGGACGAAGCUUUUUUUGACGGUACCUAGAUAAGAAGCACCGGCUAACUACGUG